RNAcentral lists this long non-coding RNA (1145 nucleotides) under Rattus norvegicus (Norway rat). RNAcentral describes it as "long non-coding RNA NONRATT011321". Lineage: Eukaryota; Metazoa; Chordata; Mammalia; Rodentia; Muridae. The record is from RNAcentral.
AGACCACUGGUUAUACAUUUCCCCCUUUUUAUUAAUCUGCCUGAGGACAGACAGGCUUUCCAGAGAUGUUUCAUUAAUACUUUUAAUUACCUUUCAGGUAGUUCCAUCAUGUUUCUUCAUUGGAUUUGUAAAACUUGAAGCCAUAAAAAUAUUAGUUUGGUGUGUAUUGGGGAAAAUAGCUGAAAGUCUAAUUUUGACUCAUUUUAGACUUUGUUAUUUCCUUGUAUAAAGUAACAAACCGGGGCUCUUGUAUCAGUGCCAUCUGUAAUGUUUUUAAAUGCAGUGGCUGCCUUCUAUUGUCUUCCUAUUUUUGAUAAUGCAGAUUGUUGGGAAAUCUAUAAGGAAGUAACUGACUCUAGGCAAAUUGUUUUCUUCCUUCUACCCACCCAAACCCUACCCAUCACCUUUUUGGAACACAGUAUGCCAGUGUAAUGUGGGAACCAUUGAGACUGUAUUUGCCCUGAGUACCAAACUAAUUUAGUGAACUUUUUUCUUUUAAAGCAUACUGGUAAAUGAUGUCCACAAAUUUCCUUAGAUAUAUUUUAAUUAAUUGUUUUAAAGUACAUUGAUAUUUAUUAAUCAUUGGAUUUGGGGAGCAGAUUUUUGACUGUGGCAGAUGGUAAGGAACAGAACAGUAAAUAGUUGGACGAGAUCAAUCAGGGCGAAUUACAUUUUUUCUGUUACACUGGUGAUCAUUUGAUAAUUGAUUUACCUCAGUGUUUAACAGUUUUUGUUUUGUUUUAAAAAUACUAACUAAUUGUCAAGCACUGAUAGAGAUGCAGGUUUUGGUGGGUGUGGGUUGUGAGGAAGAUCUCACCUUACCAACUGCAGUGCAUUUCUGUGUUUUUAACCCUCAGAGAACUCUCAUUUUAGGGUACUUGAGGCUGACUUGCAAAUUAACUAAAGUUUUAAGGUAACCUUUUUUCCAUUGUAAAUAUUUCUGUAAAUACUACCAGUUGGAUAUUAGAACAGUAGGAUACUUUUCUGAAUCCAAUCCUAUUUUUAUUUUAUACAGUAUUUCUCAGCUGUGAUCUUUGGAGCAAAAGCCAACGGCAGGAAAAAAUAGUUUGUACCAGUUUCAUGAAGUAUGUCUUUGGGUUUUUGUAAAUAAUUUUAACUCAAAUAAAAUUGCUACUUUAAAUACA